AGGCGUUCCUGUUUUCUUAGUCUCCUGGCUCUGUACAGGGAAUGGAAGCUACAACUGGGAAUUUGAAUCUGAACAAAAAGAGAAAAGAAACUAAAGCCUUUUUCUGAGCUGGGUAAAGGAAAAUAGGUUACUAUGGAUAAAAUGGACAAAAUUGCUGCCUGCAGAAUUUAACCUCUUUCCUGUCCUGGAAGAGACCUGUUGCAUAUCAGGGUCCAUCCUCCCUCCAAAUGAAGAAGAGUUAGCCCCCUAUCAAGAACAACAGAACCUCUGAGUCAGGAAUAAUCUUUUUCCAGGGACACAAAGGCUUGCCUGCUAGAUCAUAACAGACAAUUCCGCAUCUACAGGUUUUAAUGAUAAAACUUCUCUUUUUCCCUUUGGAAGUUUGCCCCAAAUGGAAAUUCACAAUCCUGAAUAUCAACCAAGAAACUGACUCUCAAUCAAGAAACCUGUUUCUAUACCAUGAAGCCAUCUGAGCUUGCCUCCAGAAAAGACAGCAUCAUGUAGGAGGCAAGUAAUGUGUUGAAAAUCUCUGAGAUCAGCAAUUCCCAAGUGUGUUCCAGUACAUGAGCCAUGUCCAAUAUAGAGCAGCAAAACUUCUCAGAUGAUCCCUAGAAUCAUGAAAUAAACAGAUCUUGUUGUUUAAGCC
RNAcentral lists this long non-coding RNA (646 nucleotides) under Mus musculus (house mouse). RNAcentral's name for it is "RIKEN cDNA 4930567K20 gene". Lineage: Eukaryota; Metazoa; Chordata; Mammalia; Rodentia; Muridae. The record is from RNAcentral.